Molecule: ribosomal RNA, 415 nt
Filed under: uncultured prokaryote
Description: bacterial SSU rRNA
Rfam family: Bacterial small subunit ribosomal RNA
Source: RNAcentral
GUGUCAGCAGCCGCGGUAAAACGUAGGUGACGAGCGUUAUCCGGAUUUACUGGGCGUAAAGAGGGCGCAGGCGGCUUUGUAAGUCGGAUGUAAAAUCUCCCGGCUCAACCGGGAGGGAUCAUUCGAAACUGCCGAGCUAGAGGGCAACAGGGGGAAGCGGAAUUCCCGGUGUAGUGGUGAAAUGCGUAGAUAUCGGGAGGAACACCAGUGGCGAAAGCGGCUUCCUGGGUUGUUACUGACGCUUAAGCCCGAAAGCAUGGGGAGCAAACAGGAUUAGAUACCCUGGUAGUCCAUGCUGUAAACGAUGGGCACUGGGUAUAGGGAGUAUCGACCCUCUCUGUGCCGAAGUUAACGCGUUAAGUGCCCCGCCUGGGGACUACGGCCGCAAGGCUAAAACUCAAAGGAAUUGACGGGG